UACGGGGGGGGCAAGCGUUGUUCGGAAUUACUGGGCGUAAAGGGCGCGUAGGCGGCCCGCUAAGUCGAACGUGAAAUCCCCAGGCUCAACCUGGGAACUGCGUCCGAUACUGGCAGGCUUGAAUCCGGGAGAGGGAUGUGGAAUUCCAGGUGUAGCGGUGAAAUGCGUAGAUAUCGGAAGGAACACCAGUGGCGAAAGCGGCUUCCUGGUCCAGCACCGACGUUCAGGCACGAAAGCGUGGGGAGCAAACAGG
This 253-nucleotide ribosomal RNA is filed under the name uncultured bacterium. RNAcentral describes it as "partial 16S ribosomal RNA". It matches the Rfam family "Bacterial small subunit ribosomal RNA", at positions 524 to 776 of the family's 1533-position model. The record is from RNAcentral.